Molecule: ribosomal RNA, 491 nt
Filed under: uncultured bacterium
Lineage: Bacteria
Description: partial 16S ribosomal RNA
Rfam family: Bacterial small subunit ribosomal RNA
Source: RNAcentral
AGUGGACGCUGGCGGUAGGCCUAACACAUGCAAGUCGAACGGCAGCACAGUAAGAGCUUGCUCUUACGGGUGGCGAGUGGCGGACGGGUGAGGAAUACAUCGGAAUCUACUUUUUCGUGGGGGAUAACGUAGGGAAACUUACGCUAAUACCGCAUACGACCUACGGGUGAAAGCAGGGGAUCUUCGGACCUUGCGCGAUUGAAUGAGCCGAUGUCGGAUUAGCUAGUUGGCGGGGUAAAGGCCCACCAAGGCGACGAUCCGUAGCUGGUCUGAGAGGAUGAUCAGCCCACAUGGAACUGAGAACCGGCCCAGCCCCCUACGGGAGGCAGCGGUGGGGAAUUUUGGCAAAUGGGCGCAAGCCUGAUCCAGCCAUACCGGGUGGGUGAAGAAGGCCUUCGGGUUGUAAAGCCCUUUUGUUGGGAAAGAAAAGCAGCAGGUUAAUCCCCCGCUGUUCUGACGGUACCCAAAGAAUAAGCCCCGGCUAACUUCGU